This 459-nucleotide ribosomal RNA is filed under the name uncultured bacterium. RNAcentral describes it as "partial 16S ribosomal RNA". It matches the Rfam family "Bacterial small subunit ribosomal RNA", at positions 338 to 795 of the family's 1533-position model. The record is from RNAcentral.
CCUACGGGUGGCAGCAGUGAGGAAUAUUGGUCAAUGGACGCAAGUCUGAACCAGCCAUGCCGCGUGAGGGAAGACGGCCCUACGGGUUGUAAACCUCUUUUGUCGGGGAGCAAAGCGAGUCACGUGUGACUCAUGGAGAGUACCCGAAGAAAAAGCAUCGGCUAACUCCGUGCCAGCAGCCGCGGUAAUACGGAGGAUGCGAGCGUUAUCCGGAUUUAUUGGGUUUAAAGGGUGCGCAGGCGGACGGGAAAGUAAGCGGUAAAAUUGCGGGGCUCAACCCCGUACUGCCGUUGAAACUGGAUGCCUUGAGUGGGCGAGAAGUACGCGGAAUGCGUGGUGUAGCGGUGAAAUGCAUAGAUAUCACGCAGAACUCCGAUUGCGAAGGCAGCAUACCGGCGCGCAACUGACGCUGAUGCACGAAGGCGUGGGUAUCGAACAGGAUUAGAUACCCGUGUAGUC